Molecule: long non-coding RNA, 815 nt
Filed under: Trifolium pratense (red clover)
Lineage: Eukaryota; Viridiplantae; Streptophyta; Magnoliopsida; Fabales; Fabaceae
Description: long non-coding RNA (TPRA_LNC013393)
Source: RNAcentral
UGCAAAUUAGUAAACAAGUCUCAAAGCUAGGAUCAAGCUCCAUUUAUCAGGUGGCGGGUUCUUAGGAUUAGAUAGUUUUCCCCAAGUUAUGAUUUUGCAUGCCAAAACACUAAGAAUUAGGAUCAAUUGUGUAUGAGAGGAGCUUAAUCCCAAAGUUUCUCUCCAUUUUAAUUAUGUAUUAUAUGUUGUAAGGUUCAUGGUAGAAAGAAAAUGGAAUUAUGGUGAGAAUUUAUGUGAAUACCGAUGAAAAAUAUGAAACGAACAAGAUAAUAAUUGUGAUACACAUUUAUGAUUUUAUGUUAUAUUAUGAAUUAUGUUAUGAAAAUUAUGUUAUGGACUGACAUUCAGGUACCUCGGUGUAGUCACGGUUAGUUGGAUAGUAGAACUCACUGAAGCUUAGUAGUCUCAUCCCACGCUUAUUAUUUUUUUAAAGAUAAGCAAGGUUCUCGUAGUAAGCUUGCAGAGGAGUAGUUGUUGCAGCUAGAUGCUUAAUGUUCCGGACUUUAUUGUCUAUGAUGUCUAUUAUGCUUUCAUGUCAUGUUCUUUCCGUUCAAGUUUUAUCGGUAUCAGACUUAUGUAUCUAGCACCUAUAUGUGCACAUCAAACUCCUUAUGUAUUGUAAUCUUUAUGUAUUCCGUACUUAAUUAUGAAUGCUCUAGCUAUAUUCUAGACUAUUUAGCAUUGAGUGUUAUAGAUUCAAUCUCCGUUUUAUCUCAUACUUAGGGCACCCACAUCGGUGCACUUGUACCGUGUUUUCACAGAAACCAAAACCCAUGUGUCACAGGCACACCUAUAAUUCAUCCAUAAAUAACGUG